RNAcentral lists this small RNA (554 nucleotides) under Pan troglodytes (chimpanzee). RNAcentral describes it as "processed transcript". Lineage: Eukaryota; Metazoa; Chordata; Mammalia; Primates; Hominidae. The record is from RNAcentral.
AAAUCCAAAUUUUUUUGUGGAGUUAAACAAACUUGCCAGGAAUGUGAUAUUUCAGAUCACUUAAUCAAGGAAAAGCCGAACCUAUCUUCAGUCAGAGGAGAUUGUUGCUGAGUUGGUUUAUAGUUUUCUGAUCCCAGAGGUGCAAAAAUACUUUGUCAAAGAAAAAGUGAGGAACGCACAGCGGAAACAUAUUCUUGCAGCCCAUCAGAUCAUCCACAGUUACACGGAAAGCAUGGUUCAAAAGAGAUUAACUGAGGGAGAGCAAGAUGAGGCCUCAAAUGCUGCCAUGUUACUUGAGAAAGAAACUCAAAAUGAGAACAACAGCUAAGAUUGUGAUUUUUUUGUAAAAGAAGCUGUACAAAUCAUCAUAAAUAAUUCCAAUAGUCUGCACUUCUCCCAAGGUGUGCACUGCUCAUAAACUUGCCAGUGUGUGAUUUAUGAGAAAGGAGAUUUAUUUUCCUUAAACAUCCAAUAAUUUAAAAUGAUUUUCAAUAAUAAUAAUCAAAUGAAAAAGCUUCAUUCUCUUCAGUGUCUUCUAGAUGCCCUACUUAAAG